UAUCGCCUUGUUCUAUUCAUUUUCUGAAAUUUUCAUUCUCCCGCCCCCAUGUUUUUUUGACGAACAAAACUGACAAUGGGUCUGUUGCUAUGUAACGAUGGCGUAGGAAAUGGCCGCUGACAAUGUGUAAUAUCCGUAUGGUAUUCUUUUGUGUGUCCGUAGUGAAAGAAUUAAGGAAACCUUUGAGGUCUUUUCCUUUUUCAUUGUCUUUUAUUUUGAAACGCAGACUAUCGAUAGGGAAGCCAUACCAAUUCCAACUGCAAGUGAAACGUUAGUGGAGGCACUGGUGAAUUCAUUUCAGUGAAUCGGAAUAAAAGACUAGGCCUGUAGGGGAGGAAAUGACCGAACAUUCUUGGCUUCGUGGUCGUGACUGUGUGGGGGCAUAGGCUCUUAAGUAUCUAUUUAUACGUGUAUUAAAUACCUAAAGCUAUAGAGGAAUGAAAAGGAAACCUUAAGCUUUAAGCUUAUAACGCCCUUCAACCUUCUCUGUUUCUUUUUCUCGCCAUCUAUCAUCCUUUAUUGUGUUUUUUUUUUUCCCCCAUUUUCCUAUGGCGUAAGUAACGAAGCCUUAUCUUACCCCCGGAGUCAUUUUUACAGGGAAUUUCGUUUGCGGGUUUUGAGAAUAAUAAAAAAAAAAAACAUUUCAACGUCAACUUAUCAUUGAAUAUUUCCGCUGCCUCUCUGUGAUAUUGAAUGAUGGAUUUGGAUAAUGAGCCUACCUGCAUUGGCUGUCAGGCAAACUGGUGGUGCGGUCGAAGAGAAAGUUGUUUUUGUUUGAGUUAAUGCACGGGAUGGAGCAAAAAUGGAAGAAGACCCACACACAUAAAAAAAAAACGAAAGUAUAUUCGGUGACACAUUAGAAAUGCGUUGAAAAAGAUUGGAGUCAGCCAUUGGAAAGAGAGGCGACGAACGCCAGAAUGUGUUUUUAUGUAUUAGGGCAUUUCGUUGUCGAUUCGAAACUCAACCGGGCACCUGUUCUUUUAUUCCUUGUCAUUAUCAUUCUUUAUCGUGUCUGAUGCUGAAUUGCUAAGUAUAUCGUUUCCGGCUAUUGCCCCCCUUUUUUCUUUUUGCUUUCUUGCUUUUACCUGAGCUCCCCUGAUGAAAUCGAUCAUUAAGGUAUUUCCUGGUUCGGUGAUUUAGUCCAUUAGCUCAUUAGAGCGCAACCGACGACUCGAUGGGCAACGAUGGCAAACUGACAACCCGUCGACAGUCAGGUCACGGAAUUUAUAUUUAUUUUUCGGGUUUUUCAGUUUUUUUUUUUUACCUUGACUUAUCUUCUUUGAUCGCCGUCUCGUUGUUCUCUUCGGUAUCAAUAAAAAAAAAACAUUCUAAUCGUUGGCGCGUAACUUCCAAAUGAACGCUCCGUCGUGCGCUGGCACGUUUGACAUCGUGUUCGGUUGCGCCAUGGCCGAAUGGAUCGCUAUUUUGUUGUUAACUUUUUAACCAUUUGAAAAUUCCCGCGCCGAUUCCAGUAUAAAUUGCUCUCUUAAAGUUGAGUUCGUGGUUUUAAUUGCUUCAUUCUCUAAGAGCAACUGUUGCCUUCUCUACCGUUAAAUAUCUUCAGCGGACGAAUUUAAAUAGAGGAAUUAUUGUUUGAUAUUAUCCCGUGAAUGUGGUCCGUUACGUCAGUGACCAGGCCAUUAAUCCGCCGAUUACCCCUUCCGCUGCGCUGGUCGGAUAAGGCACGAUGGAAUUUUGUUUAUAUUAACAUCCCCAUGUAUUUUUAAUGAUUUUUUUUUGUUAUGGCGGUGGAUAUUUUAACAUGGUCGCUCUUCCGCCCUUAUUUCAGUCUCCGAAAUGAUACCACUGUGUGGGUGUCUCGGGAUGAUGAUAAUCUCCAUCCUGUGUGUCUGCCACCAGCCUUUCCCGACUUGGCAGUCCUUGUGCGUGUAUGAAUUAUUGAUUGACAAGCCAGUAUCAAUUUUUCUUUUUCUCUCUCUAUCCCUCAUUUUUUAUUUUAUUCCAUACAUUUUUUUUUUAUUGUUAUCACGUUCAUUUUUUUCCCCCUCUUCCGUCCAGUCCCCCGUUCCGGGUUUCCGAAGAUUCAAUAAUAAUAAUUAAAAAAAAAGGCUUUUUAUUUUGUUGGUCGCACGUGAACGAAUCCAUAUAUUAACCCGCAUAAUCCUGUCCAUUAAGUCUGGCCUCAAACUCCGAAGACCUGGGCACUCUGCUUUCGCUCUAUUCCUCCGUAGCUUCUCGAUCGAAUCCUGUUUGUUGAGCCCCCUUUUUUUUUUUCGGUUUUUAUGAUUUUCUCUGGCGCAUAUCCGGCGAUUUUUACAUGCGCAUAUAGAAAACAGAUCCUUUUUUUUCAAGUUAAUACAUAUCCAGUAUUAAUAUGUAUACAGACUUGCGAAUGGCUACCGUGCGCAACGAUGGGAUGGACAACACAAAGGAGAUGAGAAAGAAGUUACGAGAAGGCAAAAAAAGAAAUCAUAAAAAAGUGUCUAUAAAGCCUGGCUCUUUUUUUUUUUUCCUUCUCGCUCCUCCUACUCUUUCCCAGAGGUGCCCGUAUGGGAUAGAAUGUAAGAGUCUCUAGACUUACGACCGUGUGCGGAUAUCCACAAGAUGAGGGCCAUAUAUUCACUAGUAGCUUAUAGCCUAUCUAUGAGUCGAUAACUCUUUUUCUCUCCCGCACGUUCCGGUUGCCACUGAAUCUCUCGCAGACAGUAUAGAAGUGGGUGGAAAUGAACUUUGGGGGACAUCAAAAAGCCCCCAAUAUCCCACAGCGAAUAUAAUAGAAUCGUUAACUCAAACAUGUUCCAAGGAAAGAAGAAA
This 2775-nucleotide long non-coding RNA is filed under the name Daphnia magna. Its description in RNAcentral is "uncharacterized LOC123470290". Lineage: Eukaryota; Metazoa; Arthropoda; Branchiopoda; Diplostraca; Daphniidae. The record is from RNAcentral.